AACGCACUUGAAUCAUCGUUAGC
This 23-nucleotide microRNA is filed under the name Panagrellus redivivus. RNAcentral describes it as "prd-miR-7944-5p". Lineage: Eukaryota; Metazoa; Nematoda; Chromadorea; Rhabditida; Panagrolaimidae. The record is from miRBase by way of RNAcentral.